AAAAUAAUUUAAAGUCUAGCCUGCCCAAUGAGAAUUUGAAUGGCCGCAGUAUUUUGACUGUGCAAAGGUAGCAUAAUCAUUAGUUUUUUAAUUGAAAGCUGGAAUGAAAGGUUGGACAAGAAAGUAGCUGUCUCUUUAUAAAUUAGUUAGAAUUUUAUUUUUAAGUUAAAAAGCUUAAAUGAAUUUAAAAGACGAGAAGACCCUAUAGAGUUUUAUAAAUUUUAUGAUUAAUUUUUUUUAGAAUUAGUUUAAAUAAAUUAUAAAUUUUAUUUUAUUGGGGUGAUGGAAAAAUUUUAUUAACUUUUUUUAUAUAGAAACAUAAAUAUAUGAAUUAUUGAUCCUUAGUUUAAGAUUAAAAGAUUAAAUUACCUUAGGGAUAACAGCGUAAUUUUUUUGGAGAGUUCAAAUCGAUAAAAAAGUUUGCGACCUCGAUGUUGGAUUAAAAUUAAAUUUUGGUGUAGAAGCUAAAAUAUUUAGGUCUGUUCGACCUUUAAAAUUUUACAUGAUCUGAGUUUAAACCGGUGUGAGCCAGGUUGGUUUCUAUCUUUAAAAUAAAAUAAUAUUUUAGUACGAAAGGACCAAAUAUUUAUAAUAAAGUUAU
RNAcentral lists this ribosomal RNA (601 nucleotides) under Gyrophaena congrua. RNAcentral describes it as "partial 16S ribosomal RNA". It matches the Rfam family "Bacterial large subunit ribosomal RNA", at positions 1830 to 2715 of the family's 2925-position model. The record is from RNAcentral. Lineage: Eukaryota; Metazoa; Arthropoda; Insecta; Coleoptera; Staphylinidae.